GAAAAUUUAGUUAAAAAAUAACAUUAGUUUGUCAGCCUAAAAUUAUUAAUAAUUUAAUAGUUUUCU
RNAcentral lists this transfer RNA (66 nucleotides) under Thesaurus albertalleni. RNAcentral's name for it is "tRNA-Asp". Lineage: Eukaryota; Metazoa; Arthropoda; Insecta; Coleoptera; Cucujidae. The record is from RNAcentral.